GCUGGUUUAACUGGUUUACCAACUCUUUCUCCCGCUCAUUCUACCGCUCACGUAGGUUACCUGCCUAUCUCUCAGGCCUCGGCUACACCACGAAAACGUCAGGCAUAUUUGUACAUACUAGAGGGGGGGGUAAUUCACACA
Alosa sapidissima (American shad) is the source of this 141-nucleotide long non-coding RNA. RefSeq lists it as uncharacterized. The transcript is spliced from 3 exons. Lineage: Eukaryota; Metazoa; Chordata; Actinopteri; Clupeiformes; Clupeidae. The record is from RefSeq and is a predicted model, not a curated record.